GAUGAACGCUAGCGGCGGGCCUAAUACAUGCAAGUUGAACGAGAUUGUUGGUAGCAAUACUGACAUGAAAGUGGCGCACGGGUGCGUAACACGUAUGUAACCUACCUUUAACUGGGGCAUAGCUUCGAGAAAUCGAAAUUAAUACCCCAUAACAUUUAGAAAAGGCAUCUUUUCUUUAUCAAAGUUCCGGCGGUUAAAGAUGGACAUGCGGUGCAUUAGCUUGUUGGUGAGGUAACGGCUCACCAAGGCUACGAUGCAUAGGGGGUCUGAGAGGAUGAUCCUCCACACUGGUACUGAGACACGGACCAGACUCCUACGGGAGCAGCAGUAGGAAUAUUGGGCAAUGGACGAAAGUCUGACCCAGCCACGCCGCGUGAAGGAUGACUGCCCUAUGGGUUGUAAACUUCUUUUGAAUGGGAAGAAAAUUCCGAACGUGUUCGGAGCUGACGGUACCAUAAGAAUAAGCAUCGGCUAA
This 475-nucleotide ribosomal RNA is filed under the name uncultured bacterium. RNAcentral describes it as "bacterial SSU rRNA". It matches the Rfam family "Bacterial small subunit ribosomal RNA", at positions 28 to 500 of the family's 1533-position model. The record is from RNAcentral.